AGAGUUUGAUCCUGGCUCAGGACGAACGCUGGCGGCGUACCUAAUACAUGCAAGUCGAGCGGACCAAAUCGGAGCUUGCUCUGAUUUGGUCAGCGGCGGACGGGUGAGUAACACGUGGGCAACCUGCCCGCAAGACCGGGAUAACUCCGGGAAACCGGAGCUAAUACCGGAUAACACCGAAGACCGCAUGGUCUUUGGUUGAAAGGCGGCCUUUGGCUGUCACUUGCGGAUGGGCCCGUGGCGCAUUAGCUAGUUGGUGAGGUAACGGCUCACCAAGGCGACGAUGCGUAGCCGGCCUGAGAGGGUGACCGGCCACACUGGGACUGAGACACGGCCCAGACUCCUACGGGAGGCAGCAGUAGGGAAUCUUCCGCAAUGGGCGAAAGCCUGACGGAGCGACGCCGCGUGAGCGAAGAAGGCCUUCGGGUCGUAAAGCUCUGUUGUGAGGGACGAAGGAGCGCCGUUCGAAGAGGGCGGCGCGGUGACGGUACCUCACGAGGAAGCCCCGGCUAACUACGUGCCAGCAGCCGCGGUAAUACGUAAGGGGCGAGCGUUGU
This 557-nucleotide ribosomal RNA is filed under the name Geobacillus sp. T1-2. RNAcentral's name for it is "bacterial SSU rRNA". It matches the Rfam family "Bacterial small subunit ribosomal RNA", at positions 8 to 544 of the family's 1533-position model. Lineage: Bacteria; Bacillati; Bacillota; Bacilli; Caryophanales; Anoxybacillaceae. The record is from RNAcentral.